UACAGAGGGGGCAAGCGUUAUUCGGAAUUAUUGGGCGUAAAGCGCGUGUAGGCGGUUUCCUAAGUCUGAUGUGAAAGCCCUGGGCUCAACCCAGGAAGUGCAUAGGAUACUGGGAGACUUGAAUACGGGAGAGGGUAGUGGAAUUCCUAGUGUAGGAGUGAAAUCCGUAGAUAUUAGGAGGAACACCGGUGGCGAAGGCGGCUACCUGGACCGAUAUUGACGCUGAGACGCGAAAGCGUGGGGAGCAAACAGG
RNAcentral lists this ribosomal RNA (253 nucleotides) under uncultured bacterium. RNAcentral's name for it is "partial 16S ribosomal RNA". It matches the Rfam family "Bacterial small subunit ribosomal RNA", at positions 524 to 776 of the family's 1533-position model. The record is from RNAcentral.